RNAcentral lists this ribosomal RNA (772 nucleotides) under uncultured Neocallimastigales. RNAcentral describes it as "partial large subunit ribosomal RNA". It matches the Rfam family "Eukaryotic large subunit ribosomal RNA", at positions 26 to 628 of the family's 3401-position model. The record is from RNAcentral. Lineage: Eukaryota; Fungi; Neocallimastigomycota; Neocallimastigomycetes; Neocallimastigales.
CGCAUCUGUGCAUGCAGCAUAUCAUAAGCGGAGGAAAAGAAACUAACAAGGAUUCCCCUAGUAACGGCGAGUGAAGCGGGAAGAGCUCAAAUUUGAAAUCUUAAAGGGUUUCCCUUUACGAAUUGUAGUUUAAAGAAGUGUUUUCUGUUGAGGUUUUGGUAAAAGUUCUUUGGAAUAGGACAUCAUAGAGGGUGAGAAUCCCGUAUUUGACCUUUACUUUCAACUUUGUGAUACACUUUCAAAGAGUCGGAUUGUUUGGGAAUGCAGUCCAAAAUGGGUGGUAAAUUUCAUCUAAAGCUAAAUAUUGGCGAGAGACCGAUAGCGAACAAGUACCGUGAGGGAAAGAUGAAAAGAACUUUGAAAAGAGAGUUAAACAGUACGUGAAAUUGUCAAAAGGGAAGCGUUUGACACCAGUGUUGUUUUUCUGAAAUCAAUUAAAGAACUGUUUAUGCUAAGCUGUUUAGACUUUAUCAGCUAUCUGUUUAGUUUUGAGCUUUUCUUUAAUGCACUUUUCAGUUAACAAGUCAACAUCAAUUUCUUUUGCUGUAAAAAAGCUUGAGGAAGGUGGCUUGAGAUUCGUCUUAAGUGUUUAUAGCCUCUUGCCUAUGCAGUCGGAGAGAUUGAGGUCUGCAGCGUAGAUCCUUCGGGGCUAAAUGCAUUUGUGCUAAGUUAUAGCAUUUUAUAGACAACUUGUUGACUAUGAUUUGUCUUGUAGCUUACUCGCUUAUGUUAUUUUACCUACGCUUAGGAUGUUGAGUCGUAGAGCACGCAG